CCUACGGGAGGCUGCAGUGGGGAAUAUUGGGCAAUGGGCGCAAGCCUGACCCAGCAACGCCGCGUGAAGGAAGAAGGCUUUCGGGUUGUAAACUUCUUUUAAGAGGGAAGAGCAGAAGACGGUACCUCUUGAAUAAGCCACGGCUAACUACGGGCCAACAGCCGCGGUAAUACGUAGGUGGCAAGCGUUGUCCGGAUUUACUGGGGGUAAAGGGCGUGCAGCCGGGAAGACAAGUCAGAUGUGAAAUCCCUCGGCUCAACCGCGGAACUGCAUUUGAAACUGUUUUUCUUGAGUACCGGAGAGGUCAGCGGAAUGCCUGGUGUAGCGGUGAAAUGCGUAGAUAUAAGGAAGAACACCAGUGGCGAAGGCGGAUGACUGGACGGCAACUGACGGUGAGGCGCGAAAGCGUGGGGAGCAAACAGGAUUAGAUACCCUGGUAGUC
Molecule: ribosomal RNA, 442 nt
Filed under: uncultured bacterium
Lineage: Bacteria
Description: partial 16S ribosomal RNA
Rfam family: Bacterial small subunit ribosomal RNA
Source: RNAcentral